AUGUGUGACCCGAUCUGGGUCCCCAGGAUCACACCCUGGGCGGAAGGCAGUGCUAAACCGCUGAGCCACUUGGGCUGCCCUCUCGGUUCUUUUUUUAAUGGCAUCUCAUUCACUGAUGAACAUUACCUUCUCAUUGCUGAAAAUAUUCUAAUACAUUUUACUCUCUUUUGCGUUGUGCCAGAAGUUCCCUUCUGCUGUUUGUUUUGCUCUCUGUCAGGUUGGAAGUAUUUGUGUAAAACCCCCUCUUCCUGGACAGGUCUGGAUUUAAGAACCAUUUGCAUCUGUGGGAGAGCCCUUAUGAUCAGGUUACAGAUUCAGCAUAUGUCAAAAUGAACAUGAGACCCUCCUGAACUCAUUCUAUUUUCAGAGAAGAAAACUAUACCCAAUUGUGUACUGGUGGAACCGGAAAAAUGCAUAAGUGGCAGAAGUCAAAGAAGCGACAGAUCUCUAAGCAUUAGAGAUUCACCUACUGGAACUGAAGAACAUGUUUUUUGGGGGGCCUUGCACUCCAAUGUGCUCUUGCAUGCAAAGUAUUGGGCUUUAAACAUUCAGGGGGGCUCUGCUUUACCUGUCUGAAUUAGACACAUAUGGCCCAGACAGAUAUGAUGGAUAUGCCAUUAUAAAAAUAUGCUUACUUGCAUAUUUGCCUCAAGAUCACUUUCUGAGAGCUACAUUACGUUUAUUCCUUGCCACAAUUCUAAGAAGAUCGUCUCCCCACUUUACAGAUGAAAAGACUUAGGCUAAAUGAGGCUAAACCACAUUUCCUUAAGGUCACAUACAGAGUGGUAGAGCUGGGACAGAAAACAAGGUUUUUCUGGGGCCAAAGUGUAAGCUGGUGGCAUUAUACUAACCUCCUCUCUUAAAAAAAGAGAGGGAGCUAUAGAUUAUAAGCUUUGGAAAGAAACAUCGAAAACUUUUCAUUUUCCUAGAAUCCAAAGCCAGAAAGUUCAAGUUACCAGAAUGCCUUUGUGAGGGCCAGAUAACAAGUGAAAAACUACAUCAGGGAUCUAUUAAAAAUAAAAGUCCAGUGAGUUUAGGAGUCCAGUUGAAUUUAGUCCCAUGAAUGUAGUAGUUUGGCCACAUAUUUAAUCAAUUGGCUGUUUAUUUGCUGUCUAAUAGGCUGGUGGUUGAUGAUUUGAGACAUAGCAGCAUCCUGUAUCAUUGCAGAAAGGUUGAAUAUGCAAAAGGAAUUUUUAGUAUUAAAUAUUUAUUUAUUUAUGCAUGUAUUUAUUUAUAUUUAUUUGUUUAUAUGAAUGAGAGAGAGAGACAGAGACAGACAGAGAGAGGGAGAGCAGGGAGAGGGACAGAGGUGAGGGAGAGAGAAUCCCAAACAGACUCCCCAUGAGGGAUGAUCUCAUUACUCAGAGAUCAGGACCUGAGCCAAGAAGCAGAUGCUCAACUGAUGGAGCCACCUAGGGGCCCCAGUAUUAAGUGUAUUUCAAGUGCUAAAAAAUGUCAUAUCCAGAUAUUACUGUUACACAGAAGAUAUCCCCCAUAGCUCAGCUAACUCAGAAGCAGAAGCUCGCCAGUUCAUUUUUCUUUUUUUUUUUUAAUUUUUAAAUUUAUUUAUGAUAGGCACACAGUGAGAGAGAGAGGGGCAGAGACACAGGCAGAGGGAGAAGCAGGCUCCAUGCACCGGGAGCCCGACGUGGGAUUCGAUCCCGGGUCUCCAGGAUUGCGCCCUGGGCCAAAGGCAGGCGCCAAACCGCUGUGCCACCCAGGGAUCCCCUUAUUUUUCACUCAUUCUUUCUUCAUUUAUUCAUCCACAUAUUCAUAUCAUGUCUACAGAGAGCCUACUGUAGUCACCACCCUGGAGGAAAUGUGAAAGUGAUGACUCAAUUCACAACUCACAGGUGCUGGGAUGAACAGUUAUUUCUUUGUCUCCGAUUUAUAUCAGGUCAAUGAUAUCUUCUAUUUAAAAUGUCUGGAGGGGACGCCUGGGUGGCUCAGCGGGUGAGUGUCUGCCUUUGGCUCAGGUCAUGAUCCCAGGAUCCUGGGAUCGAGUCCAGCAUCAGGCUCUCCACAAGGAGCCUGCUUCUCCCUCUGCCUAUGUCUCUGCCUCUCUCUCUCUGUUUCUCAUGAAUAAAUAAAAUCUUAAAAAAAAAUAGAAUGGCUGGAAAUGGACAGUUCACUAACAAUGUCUUCAGAAAAGUACU
Molecule: long non-coding RNA, 2156 nt
Filed under: Canis lupus familiaris (dog)
Lineage: Eukaryota; Metazoa; Chordata; Mammalia; Carnivora; Canidae
Description: lncRNA (ENSCAFG00845029506.1)
Source: RNAcentral